CCCGCAUAUUAGACGUAUCGAC
This 22-nucleotide microRNA is filed under the name Caenorhabditis elegans. RNAcentral's name for it is "cel-miR-50-3p". Its record names the gene cel-miR-50-3p. The record is from miRBase by way of RNAcentral. Lineage: Eukaryota; Metazoa; Nematoda; Chromadorea; Rhabditida; Rhabditidae.